AUGCCGGCGCCGCCGGCGACACAAGUGCCUCGAACAGAAAUUUUGGAAAACCAUGUUAGCAACUUGAAUCUUCUGAGCUGGAAUUGCCGAGGGUGUGGAAAUUCUCGUACAAUACCGGAUCUUGUGAGCUUGGUGCAGGUUCAUUCUCCUACUAUCGUCUUUCUUUGUGAAACUAGGCAAAGGAAACAUAGGAUGAAAAGAUAUCGAUCUCCCUUAGGUCUAAGUGGUUUCGAAGCAGUCAAUAGCAAUGGUCUUAGUGGUGGCUUAGCUCUUUUCUGGCAUGAAUCGGUACAACUUGAUGUAAAAGAUAUGAAUGAACGAUAUAUUGAUGCCUAUGUGAGUGCUGCGACGGGGGAGCCACCUUGGCGGCUUACCUGCGUCUAUGGAGAACCGCGGACGGAGGACCGACAUCGCAUGUGGUCCAUCCUCCGGGAUCUCCACCGCCAAGCCGACAUGCCGUGGGUGGUGGUUGGAGACUUCAACGAGGCUAUGUGGAGCUUCGAACACUUCUCCGAAUCACCGCGGCCGGCAGGUCAGAUGAUUGAUUUUCGUGAUGCUCUGGAAGUUUGUGGAUUGGGUGAUCUUGGUUUUGCAGGGCUGCCUUUCACUUAUGACAAUCGUCUUGGAGGACGGGCGAAUGUCAAAGUCAGACUGGACCGGGCUGUUGCAAAUAAUUCUUGGCGUGACAUCUUUACACAUGCCAAGGUGGAACACUUCGUGAUGCCUAGUUCGGACCACCUAGCUAUUUUGCUUCGGUGUGUCAUGGAGGACCAGCCACCGGUGUCAGGUAGGAGGUGCCAUCAGUAUGAGGUAAUGUGGGAGAGAGACUCGACCCUCCCGGAGGUAAUAAUGAAUACUUGGGUUGACUUGGGGUCUAUGUUGAACGGGGGGAUAUAG
RNAcentral lists this ribosomal RNA (897 nucleotides) under Triticum aestivum (bread wheat). RNAcentral's name for it is "partial small subunit ribosomal RNA". Lineage: Eukaryota; Viridiplantae; Streptophyta; Magnoliopsida; Poales; Poaceae. The record is from RNAcentral.